Molecule: transfer RNA, 73 nt
Filed under: Smittium simulii
Lineage: Eukaryota; Fungi; Kickxellomycota; Harpellomycetes; Harpellales; Legeriomycetaceae
Rfam family: tRNA
About the family: Transfer RNA (tRNA) molecules are approximately 80 nucleotides in length. Their secondary structure includes four short double-helical elements and three loops (D, anti-codon, and T loops).
Source: Rfam by way of RNAcentral
AGAGUUAUGGUGUAGUGGUUAUCACGUCUGCUUUACACGCAGUAGGUCCUGGGUUCGAUCCCCAGUAGCUCUA